GAUUACUUAGUUUAAAGGUAAAAUACUAACUUGUCAUGUUAGAAGAUAGAAGUUCGAAUCUCCUAGUAAUCU
This 72-nucleotide transfer RNA is filed under the name Hanseniaspora guilliermondii. RNAcentral describes it as "transfer RNA-Asp(GTC)". It matches the Rfam family "tRNA". Rfam says of the family: Transfer RNA (tRNA) molecules are approximately 80 nucleotides in length. Their secondary structure includes four short double-helical elements and three loops (D, anti-codon, and T loops). Lineage: Eukaryota; Fungi; Ascomycota; Saccharomycetes; Saccharomycodales; Saccharomycodaceae. The record is from RNAcentral.